AUGCUUUACAGCUUAGAGCCGGGGCUCCAAAAGCGUUUUGAGAGACAUGGAGCAUAUGAGAUGUUCGAAGAGCUGAAAAUGGUUUUCCAAGCUCAUGCCCGGGUCGAGAGAUAUGAAGUCUCUGACAAAUUCUUCAGCUGUAAGAUGGAGGAAAAUAGUUCUGUCAGUGAGCACAUACUCACUAUGUCUGGGUUACAUAACCGCUUGACUCAGCUGGGAGUUAAUCUCCCGGAUGAUGCGGUCAUUGACAGAAUCCCCCAGUCGCUUCCACCGAGCUACAAGAGCUUUGUGAUGAACUUCAAUAUGCAGGGGAUGGAAAAGACCAUUCCUGAAGUAUUUGCUAUGCUAAAAUCAGCAGAGGUAGAAGUCAGAAAGGAACAUCAAGUGUUGAUGGUCAAUAAAACCACUAAGUUCAAGAAGGGCAAGGGUAAAAAGAACUUCAAGAAGGACGGCAAGGUAGUUGCCGCGCCCAGCAAGCAAGCUGCCGGGAAGAAGCCAAAGAAUGGACCCAAGCCCGAGACUGAGUGUUUUUAUUGCAAGGAAAGUGGUCACUGGAAGCGGAACUGCCCCAAAUACUUAGCGGACAAGAAGGCCGGCAAAACCAAAGGAGCUGCGGAAUAA
RNAcentral lists this ribosomal RNA (621 nucleotides) under Triticum aestivum (bread wheat). RNAcentral describes it as "partial small subunit ribosomal RNA". The record is from RNAcentral. Lineage: Eukaryota; Viridiplantae; Streptophyta; Magnoliopsida; Poales; Poaceae.